Long non-coding RNA from Mustela putorius furo (domestic ferret), 2497 nucleotides. The record is from Ensembl. Lineage: Eukaryota; Metazoa; Chordata; Mammalia; Carnivora; Mustelidae.
CCGGCUUUAUUGAUUUAGUUUUUAUUACACAUGAAUUGCUUUGACAAAAUUUUAAUUAUUAAACGUUUGAUUGCUUCGACCUUGCUUUUACCAGGGUGGGGAGCCAGUGUGAGAAACACAUUUCAGGGCGUGGAACCAGAGCGUGGAAAAGCCUGGGGAGGAGAGGCCAGAGUGAAGCGAGGGGCGAGGGCGGCCGUGACCCGCGGGGAGUUCUGGAGCGGAGGGGGAUGGUGACCUCCCGGCCACCAGAAGGCGGAGCAGGGCCCGCGGACCGCCGGACAGCCGACGGGUGCGGACGGAAGAAAGUGAGCCUGCAGGACUUCCGACUUUAGAACAGGCACAGCUGUCCACCCACCUCCCUCCUCAGCCGGGUCUAGCGCCCCGUGGCGGAAAGCGAACGUGGAGACCCCCGGUUGCCACCGCCGAGCGCUCCCGGCGGCACAAGCGCCCGGUCAAGCCACCGCAGCACUUACCGCCCGGGGAAGAUGAAGGCCCCAAAACGCCCGGUUCCUCUGCUCCCGCAGGGCUCCCAGGCCCCGCCCACAGGUCCGGAGCCAAUGAGCGGCGGGCAGGGCCCGUUCGCCGGAGCGCACGCCGCCGGCGUCUUUGUGGGAACAGCCAAUCACAGACAGGGAUCCAGACAACUCUGGCCAAUCGGAGAUAGGGUCUCGGCGUGCCGGUGUUUUUUCUCUGCUACGUCGUUUUUUCUGGCUCUUUCCACUCGGAGUCAUUUAAACUGUGAAGGGGUCAGGAGUCAUUCCCACGUUAGUGGGAGGAGUGUCGGCUCCCGAACGAGACCGCUGGAGCCCAGCCUUAGCAGAGGCCCCGCUGACUCUCGACCCACGGGACACACUCAGUCUCACGCUUCUGCUCUGACGACAGAGCGAGCCUUGUUCCUUCCAGGUGUUUACGGAAUAAGCAAAUAAGGGCAUAUGUAGUGUGGACAUGGAAUAGAACCAGGAAAUGCUGCAACUGAAGCCCAGUUCCAGAUGAUUUCAUUGUUGGGACUCCUUGGAUCCUCAUGCCAAUGUCCGGACUCAGACCAUAGUUAAAAUUCUGAAGAGUGAGGACCAGAAAAUUCCUGAAACAAAUGGGGCCAUUAGCAAAAAAACAAAAAAGAAGAGGUAACUGAUGUCUCAGUUGGAUCAUCUUAUUCACCAGGAUGUGGACAAAUUGCUGCCAUAACAGAAGAGUCAGUGGGUUGAGUUAACCAAGCCACUUUAAACAUUUAUUGAGCACCAGCUUUUUGUAACAUUUUGUACUGGGUGCUGGUAUAACUAUGAGCCACAUAGUCUCUGUUCUUCAGGAGCUAAGAAUCAAGUUGGUUGUAUUUUGAACAUUCUGUGAAGUUAAAAUAGUUAAUGGGGAGAUCAUUUUCAUUUGUAACUUGCAAUUGUCCAUGACCAUGACUGACUCUCAAGGGCCCAGGCAAAGCGGCACCUUAGGGUUGCUGGGGGAGAGGGCUUGUGUUCACCAAGGGAAGGCUGGACAGAGAGCUUUUGAAGGCCUAUCAGCCCAUCACCCCUCCAGAGAAGCUGUCCUUCCCAACCUCACUCAGGGUGCCUUGUUUGCUGUGAAAGGCAGACAUGUGUUUGCAGGCGAGGUUCUGUUUCAGGGAUAUUCCAUGGCUGUAAGUGCAGACCACAACCCUCUGCCUGAAUCCAGCACAGACCAGUACAACAAGGUGAGUGGCUAUCUGUGAGAUGUUGUCUGUACUGUGGGUGAGGAAUGUUACCAUAAAAGAAGUAAAGACUGAGAACUGACUGGGGGGCAAGGAGGAAGGUGAGGGCAUUGAGGAAGUGGGGCUAAGGAAGGGGUAGGAAGCCAGUGCAAACCCUGGGGCCUCAAUAAGCUUCAUGCAGGCUUAGGCUUGAACUUCAGAAGAGAGCUGCCCAUGAUAGUGGCACAGAAGUCAGAAGAAAACCUGUGAGGGGUGGAGGCUAAGUGGAGGCUAAGAGGAGUACACCCCAGACAAUGUUAGUUGCCCCACUCUACGUCAAAAGUCUCUUUCUGGACCUUUUAUAUAGAAUAAAGCCUCCUGUUCUUCCAGUAUUUUAGAUUGUCUUUGGUUUCCAGAAAGCAAGGCUGAUACUUCUUCAGAGUCCCAAGGAGGGGAAGUUAGGUCCUCUUCCCGCAUCCCCUCAGUGUUAGCCCAAGCUAAGAGAGAAGUCCCGGAUCAGAGCAGCAAAGCUGCAGACCUUUGUUAAUACUCUCACUUAGGCAGGGAAAGAGCCUAGAAGCUAAAACCUAGAGUUCUGUCUAGAGGACAUGGAGAGCCUUUCUGGAAGUGUUCCUGAGUCACUGAAGGCCUCUGAAACUGACUGAGGAAUCAUUGAGAGUGUAUAUUAGUUAUCCCAAGAUACUGAGAACAGGGAGUAGAGAGAAGGGAGCAGCUGUAGAGGCAAAGGAAAGGAGCAAUAGUAUGAAGAAGACCUACUUCAAUGUGAGAUGCCACGGCUGGGAAUAUAGGAGUAUGGAUGUGUGUGUGAGAUGUUCU